AGAGUUUGAUCCUGGCUCAGGAUGAACGCUGGCGGCGUGCCUAAUACAUGCAAGUCGAACGCUUCACUUCGGUGAAGAGUGGCGAACGGGUGAGUAAUACAUAAGUAACCUGGCAUCUACAGGGGGAUAACUGAUGGAAACGUCAGCUAAGACCGCAUAGGUGUAGAGAUCGCAUGAACUCUAUAUGAAAAGUGCUACGGGACUGGUAGAUGAUGGACUUAUGGCGCAUUAGCUUGUUGGUAGGGUAACGGCCUACCAAGGCGACGAUGCGUAGCCGGACUGAGAGGUUGAACGGCCACAUUGGGACUGAGACACGGCCCAGACUCCUACGGGAGGCAGCAGUAGGGAAUUUUCGGCAAUGGGGGAAACCCUGACCGAGCAACGCCGCGUGAAGGAAGAAGUAAUUCGUUAUGUAAACUUCUGUCAUAGAGGAAGAACGGUGGAUAUAGGGAAUGAUAUCCAAGUGACGGUACUCUAUAAGAAAGCCACGGCUAACUACGUGCCAGCAGCCGCGGUAAUACGUAGGUGGCGAGCGUUAUCCGGAAUUAUUGGGCGUAAAGAGGGAGCAGGCGGCACUAAGGGUCUGUGGUGAAAGAUCGAAGCUUAACUUCGGUAAGCCAUGGAAACCGUAGAGCUAGAGUGUGUGAGAGGAUCGUGGAAUUCCAUGUGUAGCGGUGAAAUGCGUAGAUAUAUGGAGGAACACCAGUGGCGAAGGCGACGAUCUGGCGCAUAACUGACGCUCAGUCCCGAAAGCGUGGGGAGCAAAUAGGAUUAGAUACCGCUAGUAGUCCACGCCGUAAACGAUGAGUACUAAUUGGUGGGUGUCAAAGCUCAGUGGCUGCAGUUAACGCAAUAAGAUCUCCGCCUGAGAUAGUACGUUCGCAAGAAUGAAACUCAAAGGAAUUGACGGGGGCCCGCACUAGCGGUGGAGCAUGUGGUUUAAUUAGAAGCAACGCGAAGAACCUUACCAGGUCUUGGCAUCGAUAUAAAGGCUCCAGAGAUGGAGAGAUAGCUAUAGAGAAGACAGGUGGUGCAUGGUUGUCGUCAGCUCGUGUCGUGAGAUGUUGGGUUAAGUCCCGCAACGAGCGCAACCCCUGUUGCCAGUUGCCAGCAUUAAGUUGGGGACUCUGGCGAGACUGCUGGUGACAAGCCGGAGGAAGGCGGGGAUGACGUCAAAUCAUCAUGCCCCUUAUGACCUGGGCUACACACGUGCUACAAUGGACAGAGCAGAGGGAAGCGAAGCCGCGAGGUGGAGCGAAACCCAUAAAACUGUUCUCAGUUCGGACAGCAGUCUGCAACUCGACUGCACGAAGAUGGAAUCGCUAGUAAUCGCGAAUCAGCAUGUCGCGGUGAAUAAAAUCUCGGGCCUUGUACUCACCGCCCGUCA
RNAcentral lists this ribosomal RNA (1387 nucleotides) under uncultured bacterium. RNAcentral's name for it is "bacterial SSU rRNA". It matches the Rfam family "Bacterial small subunit ribosomal RNA". The record is from RNAcentral.